This 328-nucleotide ribosomal RNA is filed under the name uncultured bacterium. RNAcentral's name for it is "bacterial SSU rRNA". It matches the Rfam family "Bacterial small subunit ribosomal RNA", at positions 180 to 507 of the family's 1533-position model. The record is from RNAcentral.
GGCGGCUCCGCAUGGAGACAGUUGUUAAAGUACAAGCGCCUGAAGAUGAGCCUGCGGUCCAUUAGCUAGUUGGUAGAGUAACAGCCUACCAAGGCAACGAUGGAUAGCUGGUCUGAGAGGAUGAUCAGCCACACUGGAACUGAGACACGGUCCAGACUCCUACGGGAGGCAGCAGUAAGGAAUAUUGCUCAAUGGCCGAAAGGCUGAAGCAGCAACGCCGCGUGAAGGAUGAAUGGCCUUUGGCCUGUAAACUUCUGUAAAAGGGAAAAACAGUCAGGUAUAUCCUGAUUUGAUUGUACCUUUGAAGUAAGCCCCGGCUAACUACGUG